AGAGGCUUUCUUUUUAAGUGAAACGUUAUAGUAAACCGAACAUUGCUUAGAACGUGGCAUUUUAGAACGUAAACACAAUGGGUUUCAGAUCCAUAUUGCCUUAAUCCAACCCACAGGAGUUCUCUCAUCAUGAGUGGAGCCUACUACAUCAUCCGUGCUGCUCUUUUUGUGUUAGAAAUGCCAGAAACCAAGGCUCUGCUAGAAAACUCUAAUGACUGUUGUGAAAGAAUAAAGAGAAUGAGUGAAACCUGUGCAAACAUCACACUCUGUGAUACUGGGACUCAUCAUGAGAACAGUACUAAUUUUUGUGUGUCCUGUGACUGACCAGAGCAGGGGAAUUCAACACUUAACAACACUAGGACCAGUCACACUCCAGUACCUGC
Molecule: long non-coding RNA, 383 nt
Organism: Xyrauchen texanus (razorback sucker)
Lineage: Eukaryota; Metazoa; Chordata; Actinopteri; Cypriniformes; Catostomidae
Exons: 4
Source: RefSeq, a predicted model, not a curated record